This 69-nucleotide non-coding RNA is filed under the name human gut metagenome. RNAcentral's name for it is "Fluoride riboswitch". It matches the Rfam family "Fluoride riboswitch aptamer (crcB RNA motif)", at positions 10 to 61 of the family's 64-position model. The record is from RNAcentral.
UUGGGAAUGAAGUUCUCCCCAAGAGAUUAAACUCUUAAACCGCUUUCAAAAGCUGAUGACUUCUGCGAU